AGCUUGUUGGUGAGGUAAUGGCUCACCAAGGCGUCGACGGGUAGCCGGCCUGAGAGGGUGACCGGCCACACUGGGGCUGAGACACGGCCCAGACUCCUACGGGAGGCAGCAGUGGGGAAUAUUGCACAAUGGGCGCAAGCCUGAUGCAGCAACGCCGCGUGAGGGAUGACGGCCUUCGGGUUGUAAACCUCUUUUAGCAGGGAAGAAGCGAAAGUGACGGUACCUGCAGAAAAAGCGCCGGCUAACUACGUGCCAGCAGCCGCGGUAAUACGUAGGGCGCAAGCGUUAUCCGGAAUUAUUGGGCGUAAAGAGCUCGUAGGCGGUUUGUCGCGUCUGCUGUGAAAUCCCGAGGCUCAACCUCGGGUCUGCAGUGGGUACGGGCAGACUAGAGUGCGGUAGGGGAGAUUGGAAUUCCUGGUGUAGCGGUGGAAUGCGCAGAUAUCAGGAGGAACACCGAUGGCGAAGGCGGAUCUCUGGGCCGUAACUGACGCUGAGGAGCGAAAGGGUGGGGAGCAAACAGGCUUAGAUACCCUGGUAGUCCACCCCGUAAACGUUGGGAACUAGUUGUGGGGUCCAUUCCACGGAUUCCGUGACGCAGCUAACGCAUUAAGCUCCCCGCCUGGGGAGUACGGAAUCUCUAGAGGAUCCCC
RNAcentral lists this ribosomal RNA (650 nucleotides) under uncultured Actinomycetes bacterium. Its description in RNAcentral is "bacterial SSU rRNA". It matches the Rfam family "Bacterial small subunit ribosomal RNA", at positions 243 to 914 of the family's 1533-position model. The record is from RNAcentral. Lineage: Bacteria; Bacillati; Actinomycetota; Actinomycetes.